RNAcentral lists this ribosomal RNA (826 nucleotides) under [Verticillium] insectorum. RNAcentral's name for it is "eukaryotic LSU rRNA". It matches the Rfam family "Eukaryotic large subunit ribosomal RNA", at positions 76 to 935 of the family's 3401-position model. The record is from RNAcentral. Lineage: Eukaryota; Fungi; Ascomycota; Sordariomycetes; Hypocreales.
UGCCCCAGUAACGGCGAGUGAAGCGGCAACAGCUCAAAUUUGAAAUCUGGCCCCUAGGGUCCGAGUUGUAAUUUGCAGAGGAUGCUUUUGACAAGGUGCCUUCCGAGUUCCCUGGAACGGGACGCCAUAGAGGGUGAGAGCCCCGUCUGGCGGAUACCGCGUCUCUGUAAAGCUCCUUCGACGAGUCGAGUAGUUUGGGAAUGCUGCUCAAAAUGGGAGGUAUAUGUCUUCUAAAGCUAAAUAUUGGCCAGAGACCGAUAGCGCACAAGUAGAGUGAUCGAAAGAUGAAAAGCACUUUGAAAAGAGGGUUAAAAAGUACGUGAAAUUGUUGAAAGGGAAGCGCCUAUGACCAGACUUGGGCCCGGUGAAUCAUCCAGCGUUCUCGCUGGUGCACUUUGCCGGGCACAGGCCAGCAUCAGUUUGGCUUGGGGGAAAAAGGCUUUGGGAACGUAGCUCCUCGGAGUGUUAUAGACCAUUGCAUAAUACCCUGGGCCGGACUGAGGUUCGCGCAUCUGCAAGGAUGCUGGCGUAAUGGUCAUCAGCGACCCGUCUUGAAACACGGACCAAGGAGUCGUCUUCGUAUGCGAGUGUUCGGGUGUAAAACCCCUACGCGUAAUGAAAGUGAACGCAGGUGAGAGCUUCGGCGCAUCAUCGACCGAUCCUGAUGUUCUCGGAUGGAUUUGAGUAAGAGCAUACGGGGCCGGACCCGAAAGAAGGUGAACUAUGCCUGUAUAGGGUGAAGCCAGAGGAAACUCUGGUGGAGGCUCGCAGCGGUUCUGACGUGCGAAUCGAUCGUCAAAUAUGGGCAUGGGGGCGAAAGACUAAU